RNAcentral lists this ribosomal RNA (231 nucleotides) under uncultured bacterium. RNAcentral describes it as "partial 16S ribosomal RNA". It matches the Rfam family "Bacterial small subunit ribosomal RNA", at positions 333 to 580 of the family's 1533-position model. The record is from RNAcentral.
UAGUUCCUACGGGGCGCAGCAGUGGGGGAUAUUGCACAAUGGGGGAAACCCUGAUGCAGCGACGCCGCGUGUGGGAAGACGGUCCUCUGGAUUGUAAACCACUGUCCCCAGGGACGAAAAUGACGGUACCUGGGGAGGAAGCUCCGGCUAACUACGUGCCAGCAGCCGCGGUAAUACGUAGGGAGCGAGCGUUGUCCGGAAUUACUGGGUGUAAAGGGAGCGUAGGCGGGG